RNAcentral lists this ribosomal RNA (623 nucleotides) under Bacillus wiedmannii. RNAcentral describes it as "bacterial SSU rRNA". It matches the Rfam family "Bacterial small subunit ribosomal RNA", at positions 98 to 705 of the family's 1533-position model. The record is from RNAcentral. Lineage: Bacteria; Bacillati; Bacillota; Bacilli; Caryophanales; Bacillaceae.
GCGGACGGGUGAGUAACACGUGGGUAACCUGCCCAUAAGACUGGGAUAACUCCGGGAAACCGGGGCUAAUACCGGAUAACAUUUUGAACUGCAUGGUUCGAAAUUGAAAGGCGGCUUCGGCUGUCACUUAUGGAUGGACCCGCGUCGCAUUAGCUAGUUGGUGAGGUAACGGCUCACCAAGGCAACGAUGCGUAGCCGACCUGAGAGGGUGAUCGGCCACACUGGGACUGAGACACGGCCCAGACUCCUACGGGAGGCAGCAGUAGGGAAUCUUCCGCAAUGGACGAAAGUCUGACGGAGCAACGCCGCGUGAGUGAUGAAGGCUUUCGGGUCGUAAAACUCUGUUGUUAGGGAAGAACAAGUGCUAGUUGAAUAAGCUGGCACCUUGACGGUACCUAACCAGAAAGCCACGGCUAACUACGUGCCAGCAGCCGCGGUAAUACGUAGGUGGCAAGCGUUAUCCGGAAUUAUUGGGCGUAAAGCGCGCGCAGGUGGUUUCUUAAGUCUGAUGUGAAAGCCCACGGCUCAACCGUGGAGGGUCAUUGGAAACUGGGAGACUUGAGUGCAGAAGAGGAAAAGUGGAAUUCCAUGUGUAGCGGUGAAAUGCGUAGAGAUAUGGAGGA